RNAcentral lists this ribosomal RNA (253 nucleotides) under uncultured bacterium. RNAcentral describes it as "partial 16S ribosomal RNA". It matches the Rfam family "Bacterial small subunit ribosomal RNA", at positions 524 to 776 of the family's 1533-position model. The record is from RNAcentral.
UACGAAGGGGGCUGGCGUUGUUCGGAAUUACUGGGCGUAAAGCGUGCGCAGGCGGUUAUGCAAGUCAGAUGUGAAAUCCCCGGGCUCAACCUGGGAACUGCAUUUGUGACUGCAUGGCUAGAGUGCGGCAGAGGGGGAUGGAAUUCCGCGUGUAGCAGUGAAAUGCGUAGAUAUGCGGAGGAACACCGAUGGCGAAGGCAAUCCCCUGGGCCUGCACUGACGCUCAUGCACGAAAGCGUGGGGAGCAAACAGG